Molecule: ribosomal RNA, 253 nt
Filed under: uncultured bacterium
Lineage: Bacteria
Description: partial 16S ribosomal RNA
Rfam family: Bacterial small subunit ribosomal RNA
Source: RNAcentral
UACGUAGGGUCCGAGCGUUGUCCGGAAUUAUUGGGCGUAAAGAGCUCGUAGGCGGUCUGUCGCGUCGGCUGUGAAAACCUGGGGCUCAACUCCAGGCCUGCAGUCGAUACGGGCAGACUAGAGUUCGGUAGGGGAGACUGGAAUUCCUGGUGUAGCGGUGAAAUGCGCAGAUAUCAGGAGGAACACCGGUGGCGAAGGCGGGUCUCUGGGCCGUAACUGACGCUGAGGAGCGAAAGCAUGGGGAGCGAACAGG